UCCUACGGGACGCAGCAGUAGGGAAUCUUCCGCAAUGGACGAAAGUCUGACGGAGCAACGCCGCGUGAGCGAAGAAGGCCUUCGGGUCGUAAAGCUCUGUUGUCAGGGAAGAACAAGUAUCGGAGUAACUGCCGGUACCUUGACGGUACCUGACGAGAAAGCCACGGCUAACUACGUGCCAGCAGCCGCGGUAAUACGUAGGUGGCAAGCGUUGUCCGGAAUUAUUGGGCGUAAAGCGCGCGCAGGCGGUCCUUUAAGUCUGAUGUGAAAUCUUGCGGCUCAACCGCAAGCGGCCAUUGGAAACUGGGGGACUUGAGUGCAGGAGAGGGAAGUGGAAUUCCACGUGUAGCGGUGAAAUGCGUAGAGAUGUGGAGGAACACCAGUGGCGAAGGCGGCUUCCUGGCCUGUAACUGACGCUGAGGCGCGAAAGCGUGGGGAGCAAACAGGCUUAGAUACCCUGGUAGA
RNAcentral lists this ribosomal RNA (465 nucleotides) under uncultured bacterium. Its description in RNAcentral is "bacterial SSU rRNA". It matches the Rfam family "Bacterial small subunit ribosomal RNA", at positions 337 to 794 of the family's 1533-position model. The record is from RNAcentral.